Amaranthus tricolor (Joseph's coat) is the source of this 1406-nucleotide long non-coding RNA. RefSeq lists it as uncharacterized. The transcript has 3 exons. The record is from RefSeq and is a predicted model, not a curated record. Lineage: Eukaryota; Viridiplantae; Streptophyta; Magnoliopsida; Caryophyllales; Amaranthaceae.
UUAGUCCUGAGCUUUGGGUUACCUAACUUAUAUUCCCGCUCCAACUAAAUUCAAGAACCCGGUGCUCAGUGGCAAAUCGUUCAUCUCAUUAUCUCAAUUCCUUCAUUUCUCCUAUACUCAGAGAUUUCUCUUCUGUUUCUAGGGUUCAUUUGAAGAAAUGAUGGUGGUAGAUCCAAUGAGGAUGGAAGAGAGGUAAGAGACAGCAAUAUGCAUGACAGGCUGCCCGAGUCUUGCAAAUUUUGUCAAAGAUGAUACGGUUUUCGGAUGAGUUUUUGGAAUUCCUUGAUGGAAGUGCUUUUAUGGUGAAACUCCACGAUCCUCAAUAGCUGUACAUAAUACAAACACAUUCAAAAUGCCACACUCCAGGUAUUGGGUAUCACUUCAUGACACAUAUAAAUCAAACACAAACUAUCCUGGAAAUUACUUGGGUGAUACGUUGAUCCUGGUAUCAGGGCAACCCAAACAAUCCAGUCCAAAAACACCCUCUUUUGUUUCAACUUUUAUCAUUGCCUUCCCUUUCAUGUCUUAUCCACAUUUCUCCAUUAUUAAAAAAAUGGCUUAUAUUCUCAGAAAAGAUUUACGUAAAGCAGUCAUGGCUGAGGGUUCAGAUAUUGAUGAGCUUGUGGAUGUUGAUGAAGUAAUUAAUUUUUUAUUAUAACAUCUUUUUGUUAAAAUGAUUUUUGUUAAAGGCUUCGCCAAGAAAUAAUGUAUUGAGAGCAGUAUAUAAUCAACUUUUGAAGAGAAGAAAAUGGGGGAAAAUACAGAAUUUGUACGGAGCCUUGAAACUUAACAAACUUUUCUCCCAAUUUUGGUUCCUGGAUACGGCAUGUGGUCUCUCUACCAUCUUUCUCCCGACAGUGCCACUUCUGAGCAGCUGAAGGAACACUUUCAGCGCCAUGGAGAAAUCACGAAGGUUGUGCUGCUACCUUCUAAAGAUGGACAAGGGAAAUUUGGAUAUAUCCAUUUUGGUGAAAGGUCUAUUGAGCUGAAGUCUGUCAAAGGCACAGAAAAGUACGAGAUUGAUGGUAAUGCAUUAAUAGACAGUCAUGUUUAUGUUGACUCUUGAUUUGGGAGGGAGGACCAUGUGAAGGUCCAAAAUAUUAGUUAGUUUAUAUCUUUGGCUCCCUAUAGGUCUUCAUAAAUAUUAGUCAAACAAUAUUUUCUUACAUAUUUUUUUAUAUAAAUAACUUUUUGUGUAUUUUUUAAUCCUUCGCAAAUAUAGAUAUUAAGUGUUAAAAUAGUGUGUUGAGUUGCGUGAAAAUAAAAAUUGUAACACCUACUUCUAUUUAGAUCAAUCCUAAAGGUGAUUUUUUUUUUUACCAUAAUUGAAAAAGAAAAUUUGAAACAAAUAAGCAAAAAUAUAUUAAAAAAUCACUUUAUAGACAAUUUUUGAAACUAUUUUCCAA